RNAcentral lists this ribosomal RNA (253 nucleotides) under uncultured bacterium. RNAcentral describes it as "partial 16S ribosomal RNA". It matches the Rfam family "Bacterial small subunit ribosomal RNA", at positions 524 to 776 of the family's 1533-position model. The record is from RNAcentral.
UACGUAGGGUGCAAGCGUUAAUCGGAAUUACUGGGCGUAAAGCGUGCGCAGGUGGUUGCGUAAGAUGAGUGUGAAAUACCUGGGCUUAACCUGGGAAUUGCAUUCGUGACUGCGUAGCUAGAGUGUGGUAGAGGAGGGUAGAAUUCCGCGUGUAGCAGUGAAAUGCGUAGAUAUGCGGAGGAAUACCGAUGGCGAAGGCAGCCCUCUGGACCAUUACUGACACUCAUGCACGACAGCGUGGGGAGCAAACAGG